RNAcentral lists this unclassified non-coding RNA (679 nucleotides) under Hevea brasiliensis (rubber tree). Lineage: Eukaryota; Viridiplantae; Streptophyta; Magnoliopsida; Malpighiales; Euphorbiaceae. The record is from RNAcentral.
UACAUUGUCAAUCUAUCUGUAAUUUUGAUACAUUAUCAAUCUAUCUGUAAUUUUCUUCUCAUUUCGUUUGCUUUCAAUAUCGGAUCAAGAAUGUGCCGUGUUUGCACAAAAGUCGUUGACAGCUCCUUUUUAGUUUGAAAUGUUUAUGUUACUGCUUGCAGACUAAUCGGUUUUGUGACGUCUAAUCGAUGUUGAUAUCUGUUUGGGGUAGUCGUUAUUUUAUUUUCUAUUGUAGUCUGCUCUACCAACCAAUUACAUCCGCUGUUGGAAAUAGUCAUAGUCAUCUAAAAAGAGUUCCUGUCAAUUAUCAGAUGUAACUCUCUGUAACUUGAACAGAUACUUUUAGAAUAUUCCUCAAUUGGGUCACAGUUCAUUGUAAUAGAAGCUGCUGGAAUAUUACCAUUAGAAAGAACAAAUUCUUUAACUUCCUUGGCUUAAAUUGUCAUGUUGAAAUUUGAAGUAAAUACUGAAUGCGGACUUGCUCAAUCCAUAUUGAUUAUCAAGUGAAGUGUUGGCUGAUUUGGAUUAUAUGAAGAAUUUUACUUUUUAAUAAUAUUAUACAUUUCCUAUAAUAUCUUGUUAAAUUUUCUCAAGGUCAGAAUGACAAGCAUGUAAAUCGUUGUUCAGAUGAAAAAAGUUUUAUAUCUAAUAGUGGUCUUACUAUUAUUAUUAUUAUUAU